This 66-nucleotide transfer RNA is filed under the name Pnyxia scabiei. RNAcentral's name for it is "tRNA-Cys". Lineage: Eukaryota; Metazoa; Arthropoda; Insecta; Diptera; Sciaridae. The record is from RNAcentral.
AAUCUUAUAGUCAAAUAAAUGAUUUUAAAUUGCAAAUUUAAUGUUGUAUAAUUAUUACUAAGAUUU